AAUCAUAAGAUUUAACUUGCAUUGUUCCAUAAAGAAGCUUGCUUAGCACAGUCAUUCCAGGAUGAUUGUGAAGUGGUAUGAUAGAGGAUGGUGGCAUGCAGAAUAUCCCUAUCUAGAAGCUCUCAGACUCGUGAAUAUGGAUAUAUUUAAUUGGCGGUAAAGAUCGGCAGGCCCCGUUACGCUGAUUCACAGGCCCAUUACAAUAACGUGCUAAUUGUGCUUCCUGCUCAAGCCCUACAUCGGAUGGCUUGAU
RNAcentral lists this long non-coding RNA (253 nucleotides) under Helianthus annuus (common sunflower). Its description in RNAcentral is "sRNA HanXRQr2_Chr17g0811461". The record is from RNAcentral. Lineage: Eukaryota; Viridiplantae; Streptophyta; Magnoliopsida; Asterales; Asteraceae.